GAUGAAGAACGUAGCGAAAUGCGAUAAGUAAUGUGAAUUGCAGAAUUCAGUGAAUCAUCGAAUCUUUGAACGCACAUUGCGCCCGCCAGUAUUCUGGCGGGCAUGCCUGUUCGAGCGUCAUUUCAACCAUCAAGCUCCAGGCUUGUGUUGGGGACCUGCGGCUGCCGCAGGCCCUGAAAACCAGUGGCGGGCUCGCUGUCACACCGGGCGUAGUAGAUUUUAUCUCGCUCAGGGCGUGCUGCGGGUUCCGGCCGUUAAAAAGCCUUUUUUACCCAAGGUUGACCUCGGAUCAGGUAGGAAGACCCGCUGAACUUAAGCAUAUCAAUAAGCGGAGGA
This 336-nucleotide unclassified non-coding RNA is filed under the name soil metagenome. RNAcentral describes it as "partial contains 5.8S ribosomal RNA, internal transcribed spacer 2, and large subunit ribosomal RNA". The stretch from base 1 to 120 matches the Rfam family "5.8S ribosomal RNA", at positions 35 to 154 of the family's 154-position model. The record is from RNAcentral.